UACCAUAUUUAAUAAUCUGAAAUUCAAAUUAUGGAAUUAUAAUUUUUCAAUUAAUUUCUUUAAUUACAGAAUUAUGAACAAGAGAAUGUCCAUGUAAUGGCCAUUGAUGUGGAUGAAAAGGGGAUUGUUACACAGUCUAUCAGCAAUCUUGUCAAUUUGAUUGAAAGGGUGCGAGAAACUCCAAUAUUAUGGGACUACAGAAUACCUUUAAAGGAAAAAGUGUGUCGAAGGUUACUGAGGAGUGGCAUAGAAUUUUCAAAUAUUUUGCAGGUUGAACUGGCGAGCUAACAAAGAUACGCUUUUCAAAUUUAAAAACGUCCUUAACGAGGAGACAAAAUACAUACUUGCCAAGUGGUUCAGGUUCUCAUAGCCAUAAACCAUAGGAUCUAGAACCAUAUUUAAGUUUUCUAAAUGACACUAAAUGUGUUGAUUCUAGAGCUACAUCUUCCAAUGUGCCUUCAAUCCCAAAAAGAAAAUACGUGGAGGAUUUAAACGAUUCAUCACAAGAAUAUUUUUCUUGUGAAGAGGUUCCCGCAGAUGUU
Long non-coding RNA from Leptopilina boulardi, 542 nucleotides. RefSeq lists it as uncharacterized. NCBI's taxonomy places the organism in Eukaryota, Metazoa, Arthropoda, Insecta, Hymenoptera, Figitidae. The transcript has 3 exons. The record is from RefSeq and is a predicted model, not a curated record.